UACAGGGGGGGCAAGCGUUGUUCGGAAUUACUGGGCGUAAAGGGCCAGUAGGCGGCCAACUAAGUCCGACGUGAAAUCCCCAGGCUUAACCUGGGAACUGCGUCGGAUACUGGAUGGCUUGAAUUCGGGAGAGGGAUGCAGAAUUCCAGGUGUAGCGGUGAAAUGCGUAGAUAUCUGGAGGAACACCCGUGGCGAAGGCGGUUCUCUGGGACGGUACUGACGCUGAGACGCGAAGGCGUGGGGAGCGAACAGG
This 253-nucleotide ribosomal RNA is filed under the name uncultured bacterium. RNAcentral's name for it is "partial 16S ribosomal RNA". It matches the Rfam family "Bacterial small subunit ribosomal RNA", at positions 524 to 776 of the family's 1533-position model. The record is from RNAcentral.